This 497-nucleotide ribosomal RNA is filed under the name uncultured bacterium. RNAcentral's name for it is "partial 16S ribosomal RNA". It matches the Rfam family "Bacterial small subunit ribosomal RNA", at positions 28 to 507 of the family's 1533-position model. The record is from RNAcentral.
GAUGAACGCUGGCGGCGUGCCUAAUACAUGCAAGUCGAGCGAACGGACGAGAAGCUUGCUUCUCUGAUGUUAGCGGCGGACGGGUGAGUAACACGUGGAUAACCUACCUAUAAGACUGGGAUAACUUCGGGAAACCGGAGCUAAUACCGGAUAAUAUUUUGAACCGCAGGGUUCAAAAGUGAAAGAGGGUCUUGCGGUCACUUAUAGAUGGAUCCGCGCUGCAUUAGCUAGUUGGUAAGGUAACGGCUUACCAAGGCAACGAUGCAUAGCCGACCUGAGAGGGUGAUCGGCCACACUGGAACUGAGACACGGUCCAGACUCCUACGGGAGGCAGCAGUAGGGAAUCUUCCGCAAUGGGCGAAAGCCUGACGGAGCAACGCCGCGUGAGUGAUGAAGGUCUUCGGAUCGUAAAACUCUGUUAUUAGGGAAGAACAUAUGUGUAAGUAACUGUGCACAUCUUGACGGUACCUAAUCAGAAAGCCACGGCUAACUACGUG